Molecule: non-coding RNA, 124 nt
Filed under: Marinomonas mediterranea
Lineage: Bacteria; Pseudomonadati; Pseudomonadota; Gammaproteobacteria; Oceanospirillales; Oceanospirillaceae
Also listed under: 1 other name
Description: TPP sequence
Rfam family: TPP riboswitch aptamer (THI element)
About the family: Vitamin B(1) in its active form thiamin pyrophosphate (TPP) is an essential coenzyme that is synthesised by coupling of pyrimidine and thiazole moieties in bacteria. The previously detected thiamin-regulatory element, thi box was extended, resulting in a new, highly conserved RNA secondary structure, the THI element, which is widely distributed in eubacteria and also occurs in some archaea. Analysis of operon structures identified a large number of new candidate thiamin-regulated genes, mostly transporters, in various prokaryotic organisms.
Source: RNAcentral
AUUUAUCUCUUGGGGUGCCAUACAUCUGCUCAUCUAUCGAUGAGCUGUGUGGCUGAGAAGCUUUGCUAACCCAUUGAACCUGAACCAGAUAAUGCUGGCGUAGGAAUUGAGAUAGCGAGUCUUG